GAUGAACGCUGGCGGCGUGCCUAAUACAUGCAAGUCGAGCGAACAGACGCGGACCUUGCUGCUCGGACGUGAUGGGCGGCCAGGUGAGUAACACGAGGAUAACAUACCUAUAAGACUGGGAUAACAACCGGAAACCGGAGCUACUAACGGAGAAUAUAUUGAACCUCAUGGUUCAAUAGUGAAAGACGGAUUUGCUGUCACUUAUGGAUGGGUCCGCGCCGCAUUAGCUAGUUGGUGAGGUAACGGCGUACCAAGGCGACGAGGCGUAGCCGACCUGAGAGGGUGAUCGGCCACAAUGCAGCUGAGACACGGCGGAGACGCCUACGGGGGGCAGCAGUAGUGAGUCUUCCGCCACGGUCGGCAGCCUGACGGUGCAGCGCCGCGUGAGGGAUGAUGGUCUUCUUCUCGUAAUACACCGCUAUUGCGAAAGAACAAAUGUUUAAGUAAUUAUGCACGUCUUGACGGUACCUAAACAGAAAGCGACGGCUAACUACGUG
Molecule: ribosomal RNA, 497 nt
Filed under: uncultured bacterium
Lineage: Bacteria
Description: partial 16S ribosomal RNA
Rfam family: Bacterial small subunit ribosomal RNA
Source: RNAcentral